AGUCUGGUAGCUCGUCGGGCUCAUAACCCGAAGGUCCCAAGUUCGAAUCUUGGCCCCGCUACCA
Molecule: transfer RNA, 64 nt
Filed under: Desulfobacterales bacterium
Lineage: Bacteria; Pseudomonadati; Thermodesulfobacteriota; Desulfobacteria; Desulfobacterales
Description: tRNA-Met
Rfam family: tRNA
About the family: Transfer RNA (tRNA) molecules are approximately 80 nucleotides in length. Their secondary structure includes four short double-helical elements and three loops (D, anti-codon, and T loops).
Source: RNAcentral